RNAcentral lists this ribosomal RNA (414 nucleotides) under Acidobacteria bacterium Ellin7195. RNAcentral describes it as "bacterial SSU rRNA". It matches the Rfam family "Bacterial small subunit ribosomal RNA", at positions 32 to 456 of the family's 1533-position model. The record is from RNAcentral. Lineage: Bacteria; Pseudomonadati; Acidobacteriota.
AAUCAACGCUGGCGGCAUGCCUAACACAUGCAAGUCGAACGAGAAAGUGGAGCAAUCCAUGAGUAAAGUGGCGCACGGGUGAGUAACACGUGACUAACCUACCUUCGAGUGGGGAAUAACCCCGGGAAACCGGGGCUAAGACCGCAUAAUAUCGAGAGAUCAAAUGCGAAAGCAGCUUGAAGAGGGGGUCGCGGUUGAUUAGCUAGUUGGUGGGGUAAUGGCCCACCAAGGCGAUGAUCAAUAGCCGGCCUGAGAGGGCGCACGGCCACACUGGAACUGAAACACGGUCCAGACUCCUACGGGAGGCAGCAGUGGGGAAUUUUGCGCAAUGGGGGAAACCCUGACGCAGCAAUGCCGCGUGGAGGAUGAAGUCCUUUGGGAUGUAAACUCCUUUCGAUCGGGAAGAUAAUGACG